Molecule: long non-coding RNA, 1379 nt
Organism: Quercus robur (English oak)
Lineage: Eukaryota; Viridiplantae; Streptophyta; Magnoliopsida; Fagales; Fagaceae
Exons: 3
Source: RefSeq, a predicted model, not a curated record
ACCCAAAAAAAAUACUUAAACGCAAAAUCAAAGCCCUAAGCCCUAACACGUUCUACCUUCUCCUUCCUCCAAAACACAGACAACGCUCUGCCAUUCCCCCAAACGCAAAUCGUAGCUCAACGGCUCAAUGCCUCCACCUUCUCCGGCACCACCCUUCUCCAGUUCUAUAUUUGUCGGCUCCACCGUUUUAUUAUCUCUUCAGCCCUCAAGUAUACUCACCCAAACCUUCUUCUCUCUAACCACUUCACCCCUUCCUAACGCAGACCUCUAGGUUUCAAAAUCUGGGUUUAAUCCUCUCAAUCAUUCUCUCUAAGGUAUUAGCCCAAACUGCCGACUCUUCCAAAGAAGCUGAUAAAUCAUGUUCUUCUUCUUCAUCUUUCUCCUCCAACCCAGGUGCUUGCAUUUUUCUUUUUUCUUUUUUUCAUGUUUGUAGCUAAACAUGAUUAAGGAGGGGUUACAUAUGAUUCUUUGUACUACAAGACAAGGACAGUCAGGUAUUUACCUUUCCUUUAUUAUGUACUGUUUCUUGCAUAUUUAUUAAUAAUAUGUUUCGAGAAAGAAUUUGAAAUUGGAAUGUGAUUGCAUAUUUAAGUUUCUUGGUUAUCUCAAACUUGGGGGUAUUCUUGAGUCUGUUGACUUUGUUUUGUAUUGGUAUCGGGUUUGAUUCUCUUAUGAUGAUACUAUGAUAGUAACGUGGGAAUUUAAUAGUAAAUUUUUUUGUCUUGAUUCUAAGCAAAAAAAUAAAGUUAUGUCUGAUUUUUAUUUUAUAUAAAUUGACAGAGUUUAUGUUUGAUUGAACUUGGAUCAAUUAAAGGUUUUUUCACUAAUUCAGUUUGCUGUGUAUGUGCUAUACUCAAUUUUCUUUACUGAAUUUAAUGUGAAAAAAAAUGUUUUCUUGCAUGGUCUUGACAUUGAUUUGACUUAAUUUAUAUUCAAUUUAUUUUCCAUUUUUAAAUUAUUUAAUCAAGCUCACAAAUUACAAUUCAGACCCUGAUAUUAAAUUCACUUACAAAUGGUUUUUUUGUCAAGAAAUGUUUUUUUGCUUGAUGAUUUUUGCUUCCCUUAUUACAUUUUGUUAUAUGGAUUGGUAGUAAUGGUUUGCUGCGCAGUUUUGAACACACAACUCAGUUUCUGAGAUUAUAAGGAAGACAAACACACAUUCAAAAUUGAAUCUAUAUUAUUGGGUUGAGAGUUUGGGUCUUUGACAGAGAUAUAAUGAUUAAUUGGGAAACAGAGAGAGAGAGAGAGAGAAAAGCUAUUUAUAAAUAAAUUACCACUUAUCUAAAAAUUGUAAAUUGUUAGAAACUAAUAAAUUUAAUCAUUCAAUCAAAAUUCUUAAUUGCUCCUAUGCCUUGCUGCUUGCUUUGUUGUAUAUAUUC